RNAcentral lists this ribosomal RNA (467 nucleotides) under uncultured bacterium. RNAcentral describes it as "partial 16S ribosomal RNA". It matches the Rfam family "Bacterial small subunit ribosomal RNA", at positions 28 to 507 of the family's 1533-position model. The record is from RNAcentral.
GACGAACGCUGGCGGCGUGCUUAACACAUGCAAGUCGAACGGAAAGGCCCUGCUUUUGUGGGGUGCUCGAGUGGCGAACGGGUGAGUAACACGUGAGUAACCUGCCCUUGACUUUGGGAUAACUUCAGGAAACUGGGGCUAAUACCGGAUAGGAGCUCCUGCUGCAUGGUGGGGGUUGGAAAGUUUCGGCGGUGGGGGAGGGACUCGCGGCUAAUCAGCUUGUUGGUGGGGUAGUGGCUUACCAAGGCGUUGACGGGUAGCCGGCCUGAGAGGGUGACCGGCACAAAGGGGACUGAGACACGGCCCGUACUCAGAGGGGGGGAAGCAGGGGGGAAUAUUGGACAAGGGACCGAGAGUCUGAUCGAGCAAUUCUGUGGGGACGAUGGAGUUUUUGGGAAUGUAAAGUGCUUUCAGUUGGGAAGAAACAAAUGACGGUACCAACAGAAGAAGUGACGGCUAAAUACGUG